GAAGAGUUUUGGAGACAUCACCGCCUGAGACUGCAGUGAGUCCUUGCCACUCGAGACAGCGGUCCUACACCUUCCAGCGGCCCAACAGCGCCCCCUGCCGACCACAACCAGGUACUGCAGGUCCUACACCUUCCAGCGGCCCAACAGCGCCCCCUGCCGACCACAACCAGGUACUGCAGGUCCUACAGCUCCAGCGGCCCAACAGCGCCCCCUGUUGACCACGACCAGGUACUGCAGGUCCUACAGCUCCAGCGGCCCAACAGCGCCCCCUGCAGACCGCAAUUAGGACCGUGUUAAAGGACAGAGGAGUACUCUUUUAGGCUUGUUGUUGUGGUUGUUGUUGCUGGUGUUGUUUUGUUUUGUGUUACUUUUUUUUCUUCUUCUUUUUUUGCCAACAUUCAUAUAUUUCUUAAUAAAGGGUUGUUAUUUCUCCUGU
Molecule: long non-coding RNA, 436 nt
Organism: Pseudopipra pipra
Lineage: Eukaryota; Metazoa; Chordata; Aves; Passeriformes; Pipridae
Exons: 3
Source: RefSeq, a predicted model, not a curated record